Long non-coding RNA from Myotis daubentonii (Daubenton's bat), 3098 nucleotides. RefSeq lists it as uncharacterized. Lineage: Eukaryota; Metazoa; Chordata; Mammalia; Chiroptera; Vespertilionidae. The record is from RefSeq and is a predicted model, not a curated record.
UGGAGCUGGCCAUCCGUGCUGGGGGCAGCCAUGGCGACUGGCUACAGGCUGCGGUCUCGGCUGUGCCCUCCUGCCUGGGUCCGGUCAGCAGAAGUCAGACUCCAUGGUGGCCCCUGCAGGGGGAGGAAGCACCACAUCCGUGGAGCAGCGGAAAGUGAAGGGUCUGGGCAGUCCUGGCCCAGCUGAGCCAGGAACUGGCUUCUUCAGGUCAGUGCCUUGGACCAUGUGAGCAGAAAGCUGGGGACCUCUCCCCGCUGCGCCUAAAACACCCCAGGCUUGUUCUGAGACCCCCACCGGGGGGUUCCUCUGCGGCCCCUCGGCCGUUGGAGGUCUUGGAGCUGGCGUUGGGGGGUCUUCCUCACUGGUCACCAGGGGUAGCCUGGGCUCCCUCGCCAGUUUCACCCGCUGUGGACACUUCCCAGGCCCGCUGGGCAAGGGCUCGGGGUCUGCGGGACACCCAGGAGGGGUGGGAACGGAAAGGGCAACAGGUGCCUUGAAGUUUUCCGCUCCGGGGCCGAGAGCAGCCUGGGCGCCCCCAGGGUCCGGCCGGCCCCCCGGUGGCACUUACGCGCUAGUGGGUCCACCGCUGGGCAGAACUGAAACUUUCUGGGGCCAAGCGGAAGACUGCGGGUGCGCGGCGGAGACGGCCAUGAUACGCAGAGCCCGCCACAAGCGGGUGCGGACUACAACUCCCGGCAUGCACCACAAGCCCGAGUCCUACAACGCCCAUCGGACCCCAGCGGCAGAUGGGCUCCGACUACAACUCCCGGCAUGCUCCGCAGAGCCGAGGUUGACAACGCCUACUGGUUCUCCCUUGCAUCUGGCUGUAGGUUAACCUUUCAAUCCCCGAGGACACGCAAACCAUGGUUUGGGGAAAGCAGCCCCGUCCGUGUGUGGCUUUUGAGAGUUUGAAAUGUGGCUAGUUUGAGUUAUUGUACAUGUGUUGUAAGCGCAGAAUACACGUGAGUUCCAAAGACUUCGUGUGAAAAAGAAAUUCCGAGCAGAAAGCAGUAUCAUUCCUUCUGGCUGGUCCUUGUUCAGACACAGUUGGAUUAAGAGAUACGAAAAAGCCCUGGACUUGGAGACAGAGACGUGGGUGUUAGGCCAGAGGAGAGACAGGGACAAAAAACUGAGCCAGGGAACACUCAAGACAGACUUGGCCUCGGACAAUUUUGCCUAAGGCCUAAAUGGAGCCAAUUUCCCACCAUCCUGAUUCACACAGGACUUGUUUCACACUUUAUCUCCAAGCCUUCUUCUGUGUCCCUCCCUUCACCCCAAAUCCUAACCCAGUUCCCCCCCAUAAGCAGAGAACUUUUAGGAAUCUUAUGUAAUGAUCUUGGGUAGAGAUUUAUUUGUGCAUAUGAUACAAUGAUUCUGUUUUUAUUAGAUGAUUACAAUAGUAACUCAUAUUAGUCUGGGCUGAAUGAUUUACAAAGCAAGUACUUUACACACAUAACCUCAUGCGCACCUCCACUGUGUGCGUAGAAUCUGCCUUUGUGUUGUUGACAUACAGUUUUACAAAUGAGGACACUGAGGCUCUGAGGGAUCCAAGGUCACAGUGAGUGAGUAAAGAGCUUGGAUUUGGGGUUUGAGUCCAGGACUCAAAUCCCAAGAGACUUCUCAGCCAGUUUACUUUGGGGGUCUUUUCUGCUGGGCUUUCCAUGCUUGUGGGUUUCUUUGUCCCACCAGAGGCAGCUUUCACAAAUGAAAGCCACAGGAAUUCAACAAACCAGGUGAUGCCUGGGCUGGUGGGCUCUGGAGAAGAACCCAUGGGAAGCCUGUGAAUGGUACCUGGAGUUGACUGGAAGGUGGAUGUAAUAUAAGCCAGUGUCAGAAGAGGAAAUGGAAGUAGAAAAAAAAAACAACAAAAAGAGAGUCUCCUUAUCCACUUGGUCAACCAACCACAAAUAUUGUGGGGCACUAAGGCAGGUUCUAGUUAUGCAACACAGAUUGUGCUGUUGAGGAAGUUCCACUCUGGCUGGGGUUAUCUGAGGUCUGGGGCUGCCCUGGGCUUGGAGGUACGUUCCUAUUUGGAGAUCAGCAAGACUCCUCUCCUCUUGAUUUUGUUUGAGGGAGUGUGGAGGUGGAAAUGCUGUGAAGAAAUCUUCCCUGGGUACCGCUGGGGAUUUUAUAUGUUUCUGGUGUGGCAGUUCUGCAGCCCUGUGACCAGGGCACCAUAUUUCAACUAUUAGGGGAGGGAUAGGCUCACAAGAGCCCGGUUGAGGUUGAACAGUAGUUUUAGUGGAUGGAGGGAGAAGAAAGCAGGAGGUUGUAGCUGAUGAAGGGUGUGGUCAGAGAAUGUAGAGUACAGUCCCUGGCCUCACCCACACUCCCUUUCUGAUAGGGUGUCCCUCUACCUUCCAGUUUUUACCUUUCUGUCUCUAUGCCUCUUUCCUUGCAUUCCCAAGGAACUGGAUUAGGAGAAGACUCUUGGUUAAAGAUCACUUUCAGAGCUAGUCUAUUGGGAGUGCCAAAACAUCACUAGAAAUGUAGAGAUGGACAUGAUUGUAUUUCAUGAACUCUCCUAGGGAUAUGGCUGUAUGUGUUGAAAGAAAUACUUAGAUAUGCAUCUUGGAAUUUGAAGGAAUGGGAUGGGGUAAGGAGACAGUGGAUCAAGCCUCUCAAAGGUCAUGCUCUCUGGUGAUACAAGACCCCUUAAGCCUGCUUUCUAAGAAGAGUGGGCUCAAAACCCAUGGAGCUUUGGUUUGGCCAAGUGGGUGUGUAAUCUGGAAUCCUCUGUUUUUCUGCUCCCUGGCCUCAGCCUGCCAUCUAAAUAAAAGUUGGACAAAAGUUUAGUAAUCCCAGUUUACAGAGGUGCCAAAUUGUCCUGAUAGAAGCCCACAGGCUUAGCUCAGACCCCCCAAACCAUCUCAUCAUCUCUUUCCUUAGGUGGUGGGCUAUUUCUUCCACAGAUGGUGGGUGAUGGCCCACCUAUUGGUUAGCUAGUCCCUUCCCUGGUGCACCACGCAACCUUCUCCAGCAGGUGUUACUGACCAAUUCUUAAAAUUAGACCUUCACUCUUCCCCAGCAAGGUCAAUGUCCUCCAAGGCUGGCCACCCAAUGGCAACUAGAGUAUUGAAAUAAUAGCUGGAACUGAA